CCUACGGGAGGCAGCAGUGAGGAAUAUUGGUCAAUGGGCGCAAGCCUGAACCAGCCAAGUAGCGUGAAGGAUGACUGCCCUACGGGUUGUAAACUUCUUUUAUAAGGGAAUAAAGUGAGGCACGUGUGCCUUUUUGUAGGUACUGUAUGAAUAAGGAUCGGCUAACUCCGUGCCAGCAGCCGCGGUAAUACGGAGGAUCCGGGCGUUAUCCGGAUUUAUUGGGUUUAAAGGGAGCGUAGGUGGGUCUUUAAGUCAGCUGUGAAAGUUUGCGGCUCAACCGUGAGAGUGCAAUUGAUACUGGAAGUCUUGAGUACAGGUGAGGUAGGCGGAAUUCGUGGUGUAGCGGUGAAAUGCUUAGAUAUCACGAAGAACCCCGAUUGCGAAGGCAGCUUACCACACUGCCACUGACAUUGAUGCUCGAAAGUGCGGGUAUCAAACAGGAUUAGAUACCCUGGUAGUC
This 460-nucleotide ribosomal RNA is filed under the name uncultured bacterium. RNAcentral's name for it is "partial 16S ribosomal RNA". It matches the Rfam family "Bacterial small subunit ribosomal RNA", at positions 338 to 795 of the family's 1533-position model. The record is from RNAcentral.